CAACAUAGAAAAACUAAAGACAAGCAACAGUAUACAAACCAAAUAUAGAAAACUUAGAAAAAGCAACAAUACAAAACACAACAUCAAAACUUUAAGAUAUAUCAGUAUACAAAACACAGCAUAGAAUAAAAAAGUAACAACAGUAUACAAUUAUACAUCAACUAAAACUAUAGACAGACAGCAAUAUACAAGACACACAUAGAAAAAUAAAGACAAACAACGGUAUUGAAAACACACAUAGAAAACUAACGACAAAACAAC
Molecule: long non-coding RNA, 261 nt
Filed under: Mytilus galloprovincialis (Mediterranean mussel)
Lineage: Eukaryota; Metazoa; Mollusca; Bivalvia; Mytilida; Mytilidae
Source: RNAcentral